RNAcentral lists this ribosomal RNA (243 nucleotides) under uncultured bacterium. Its description in RNAcentral is "partial 16S ribosomal RNA". It matches the Rfam family "Bacterial small subunit ribosomal RNA", at positions 30 to 271 of the family's 1533-position model. The record is from RNAcentral.
AUUGAACGCUGGCGGCGUGCUUAACACAUGCAAGUCGAUCGGUAACAGGUGUAGCAAUACAUGCUGACGAGAGGCGGACGGGUGAGUAAUGCUUGGGAAUCUGCCUAUUAGUGGGGGACAACCCGGGGAAACUCGGGCUAAUACCGCAUACGCUCUACGGAGGAAAGCCGGGGACCGCAAGGCCUGGCGCUAAUAGAUGAGCCCAAGUCGGAUUAGCUAGUUGGUAGGGUAACGGCCUACCAA